GACAGAGGUGCCGAGCGUUAGGCGGAAUCACUGGGCUUAAAGCGUGUGUAGGCGGGCCCGUAAGUGUCUUGUGAAAUCCCACGGCUCAACCGUGGAACUGCUGGGCAUACUGCGGGUCUUGGGCCAACUAGGGGCAGCCGGAACAAGCGGUGGAGCGGUGAAAUGCGUAGAUAUCGCGUGGAACGCCGAAGGUGAAAACAGGCUGCUGGGGUUGCGCCGACGCUGAGACACGAAAGCCAGGGGAGCAAACGGG
This 253-nucleotide ribosomal RNA is filed under the name uncultured bacterium. Its description in RNAcentral is "partial 16S ribosomal RNA". It matches the Rfam family "Bacterial small subunit ribosomal RNA", at positions 524 to 776 of the family's 1533-position model. The record is from RNAcentral.